RNAcentral lists this long non-coding RNA (499 nucleotides) under Rattus norvegicus (Norway rat). RNAcentral's name for it is "long non-coding RNA NONRATT019007". Lineage: Eukaryota; Metazoa; Chordata; Mammalia; Rodentia; Muridae. The record is from RNAcentral.
CUUGCUGUCAUGAGGCGGGAUCAGCCCCUCAAGCCUGCAGGGCUGAAAUGCCUUGGAAAACCUCCUCCCCAGGCUGUGAUGUUUGCCUCUGAAGUUUAUUUUCUCACAGGCUAUUUCUUAUGGAUUAGCUUCUGGCCCUUGUCUAAAAACAUUCCCGCUCCUGUCUGACACCCCCUGCUGGUUCCUAGGUCAUGCCUUGUGCCUAGCUAGUGAGGCUCCACAGGGCUCUUUAGCCUCCCUCCCCGUGGUGCUGCACUUGUGUAGAGAUUGACCAUGGGUGUGCUUCUUGUGGGGUGGGUAGAUUCUAAGUCCUGAAGAAAUUGAGAAGUAUGUUGCUGAAAUCGAGAAGGAGAAAGAAGAAAAUGAAAAGAAGAAGCAGAAGAAAGCAUCUUGAGGGCAGCGGUCAGAGCAGCUUUGAGCCUCCAUCCGAGCAAACGGGUGCUGUGGGCCUUGUGGCCAUUUGUCGGAGUCCAAUAAACUACUACGUUUUUUAACUCUG